This 292-nucleotide ribosomal RNA is filed under the name uncultured Acidothermus sp. Its description in RNAcentral is "partial 16S ribosomal RNA". It matches the Rfam family "Bacterial small subunit ribosomal RNA", at positions 505 to 796 of the family's 1533-position model. Lineage: Bacteria; Bacillati; Actinomycetota; Actinomycetes; Acidothermales; Acidothermaceae. The record is from RNAcentral.
GUGUCAGCCGCCGCGGUAACACGUAGGGCGCAAGCGUUGUCCGGAAUCAUUGGGCGUAAAGAGCUCGUAGGCGGUUUGUCGCGUCUGCUGUGAAAACUCGGGGCUUAACCCCGAGCUUGCAGUGGAUACGGGCAGACUAGAGGUAGGUAGGGGAGAAUGGAAUUCCCGGUGUGGCGGUGAAAUGCGCAGAUAUCGGGAGGAACACCGGUGGCGAAGGCGGUUCUCUGGGCCUUACCUGACGCUGAGGAGCGAAAGCGUGGGGAGCGAACAGGAUUAGAAACCCCUGUAGUCC